AUACGUAGGGAGCGAGCGUUGUCCGGAAUUACUGGGCGUAAAGGGCGCGUAGGCGGCGCUUCAAGUCGUCUGUCAAAUGGGAGGGCUUAACCCUUUUUCGCAGACGAAACUGGAGAGCUUGAGAAGCAGAGAGGCCAACAGAAUUCCUGGUGUAGCGGUGAAAUGCGUAGAUAUCAGGAAGAAUACCAGUGGCGAAGGCGGUUGGCUGGCGGUAUACUGACGCUGAAGCGCGAAAGCCAGGGGAGCGAACGGGAUUAGAUACCCCGGUAGUCCUGGCAGUAAACGAUGUAUGCUGGGUGUGAGACUAGCGAUAGUUUCGUGCCGAAGUUAACGCGAUAAGCAUACCGCCUGGGGAGUACGGUCGCAAGAUUGAAACUCAAAGGAAUUGACGGGG
This 394-nucleotide ribosomal RNA is filed under the name uncultured bacterium. RNAcentral describes it as "partial 16S ribosomal RNA". It matches the Rfam family "Bacterial small subunit ribosomal RNA", at positions 523 to 918 of the family's 1533-position model. The record is from RNAcentral.